Molecule: ribosomal RNA, 253 nt
Filed under: uncultured bacterium
Lineage: Bacteria
Description: partial 16S ribosomal RNA
Rfam family: Bacterial small subunit ribosomal RNA
Source: RNAcentral
UACGGGGGGAGCAAGCGUUGUUCGGAAUCACUGGGCGUAAAGGGUGCGUAGGCCGCACGGUAAGUCAGAGGUGAAAUCCCGGAGCUCAACUUCGGAAUUGCCUCCGAUACUGCCGUGCUUGAGGACUGGAGAGGAGAUUGGAAUUCACAGUGGAGCAGUGAAAUGCGUAGAUAUUGUGAGGAACACUAGUGGCGAAGGCGAAUCUCUGGACAGUUCCUGACGCUGAGGCACGAAGGCCAGGGGAGCAAACGGG